This 301-nucleotide ribosomal RNA is filed under the name uncultured bacterium. RNAcentral describes it as "partial 16S ribosomal RNA". It matches the Rfam family "Bacterial small subunit ribosomal RNA", at positions 509 to 808 of the family's 1533-position model. The record is from RNAcentral.
CAGUAGCCACGGUAAUACGUAGGGUGCAAGCGUUAAUCGGAAUUACUGGGCGUAAAGCGUGCGCAGGCGGUUAUAUAAGACAGAUGUGAAAUCCCCGGGCUCAACCUGGGAACUGCAUUUGUGACUGUAUAGCUAGAGUACGGCAGAGGGGGAUGGAAUUCCGCGUGUAGCAGUGAAAUGCGUAGAUAUGCGGAGGAACACCGAUGGCGAAGGCAAUCCCCUGGGCCUGUACUGACGCUCAUGCACGAAAGCGUGGGGAGCAAACAGGAUUAGAUACCCGAGUGUCCCUGUCUCUUAUACA